RNAcentral lists this ribosomal RNA (460 nucleotides) under uncultured bacterium. RNAcentral's name for it is "partial 16S ribosomal RNA". It matches the Rfam family "Bacterial small subunit ribosomal RNA", at positions 338 to 795 of the family's 1533-position model. The record is from RNAcentral.
CCUACGGGAGGCAGCAGUGAGGAAUAUUGGUCAAUGGACGAGAGUCUGAACCAGCCAAGUAGCGUGAAGGAUGACUGCCCUAUGGGUUGUAAACUUCUUUUAUAAGGGAAUAAAACGAGGCACGUGUGCCUUUUUGCAUGUACUUUAUGAAUAAGGAUCGGCUAACUCCGUGCCAGCAGCCGCGGUAAUACGGAGGAUCCGAGCGUUAUCCGGAUUUAUUGGGUUUAAAGGGAGCGUAGAUGGGUUGUUAAGUCAGUUGUGAAAGUUUGCGGCUCAACCGUAAAAUUGCAAUUGAUACUGGCAGUCGUGAGUACAGUUGAGGUAGGCGGAAUUCGUGGUGUAGCGGUGAAAUGCUUAGAGAUCACGAAGAACCCCGAUUGCGAAGGCAGCUUACUAAACUGUGACUGACACUGAUGCUCGAAAGUGUGGGUAUCAAACAGGAUUAGAUACCCGUGUAGUC